AGGACGAACGCUGGCGGCGUGCGUAACACAUGCAAGUCGAACGAGUGUAGCAAUACACGAGUGGCGGACGGGUGAGGAACACGUGGCUACCAACCUGGCACUGGGGAAUACCCGUGAGAAAUCAUGGUUAAUACCGCAUACGCCCGCAAGGGGAAAGUCGCAAGACGGUGCGAGACGGGGCUGCGCCCGAUUAGCUAGUUGGUGGGGUAAUGGCCUACCAAGGCGUCGAUCGGUAACUGGU
This 241-nucleotide ribosomal RNA is filed under the name uncultured bacterium. RNAcentral's name for it is "partial small subunit ribosomal RNA". It matches the Rfam family "Bacterial small subunit ribosomal RNA", at positions 26 to 291 of the family's 1533-position model. The record is from RNAcentral.